RNAcentral lists this unclassified non-coding RNA (301 nucleotides) under Hevea brasiliensis (rubber tree). Lineage: Eukaryota; Viridiplantae; Streptophyta; Magnoliopsida; Malpighiales; Euphorbiaceae. The record is from RNAcentral.
UCACCAACAAAAAUAUGGGUCAAGUAUUCAUUCCCACUAGUAAAGAUGCAUGUCCCAUUAAUAAAGAAAAGCUUCAUGAUCUAAAAUUACACUCAUGUGAUUUACAGGCCCAAAACGUCAGAUACAGACUUGUUGAUGAUCUGAAAUAGCUCUUCCCGCUCAGGUUUGAAUAGGAGAUAUCGAUAUACAAACCACGAAGAGUAUAGAAUGCCAAUAAGUUCUAGCACAGUUGGGAUAAGCGUCAACUUGUCAAUAGCGGAUAGGAGAUUUGCUGAUGCCCAUAGAGCUACUAUAGCUGCAA